AUUGCACGCUGGCGGCAGGCCUAACACAUGCAAGUCGAGCGAGCGGCGGUCGGGUGCGCAAUGUAUGGGGAUUGCCCGCUAGAGGGGGAUAACUACUGGAAACGGUAGCUAAUACCGCCUCCUAUCCGAUUACCCAUAUGGGAUUAGCUAGUAGGUGAGGUAAUGGCUCACCUAGGCGACGAUCCCUAGCUGGUCUGAGAGGAUGAUCAGCCACACUGGGACUGAGACACGGCCCAGACUCCGAGUGAGGCAGCAGGGGGGAAUAGUGCACGAGGGGCGCAAUCCUGACGCAGCCAAAGCGAGUGUAUAAAGAAGGCCCUAGGGUUGUGAAGUACGUUAAGUAGGGAGGCGUUACCGACAGAAGAGGCACCGACUAACUCCGUGACAGCAGCCGCGGUAAUAC
RNAcentral lists this ribosomal RNA (403 nucleotides) under uncultured bacterium. RNAcentral's name for it is "partial 16S ribosomal RNA". It matches the Rfam family "Bacterial small subunit ribosomal RNA", at positions 30 to 526 of the family's 1533-position model. The record is from RNAcentral.